This is a long non-coding RNA of Sycon ciliatum, 347 nucleotides long. RefSeq lists it as uncharacterized. The record is from RefSeq and is a predicted model, not a curated record. NCBI's taxonomy places the organism in Eukaryota, Metazoa, Porifera, Calcarea, Leucosolenida, Sycettidae. The transcript has 2 exons.
UCAACCGUUGGUCCAAGCAACGUGCUUCUCUAAGUCAGUUGCAGUGCGGGCAGCUGCCAGUGGGUUGGUGAUGAAGCACUUUGUCUUGUCCUACAAACGAAGUGGUGAGCCAGCCAUUUCCAGACUGAUGAAGGAGCAAGUCGGAGGAAAUGACGACCUGGAUCCCAUCGUCAACCAAAGUGUACAUUUUUCGGUGUUGAUAUCAUCUUAGUCAAUACCUCGAACAGUCUGUAAAAUUUUAUGUCAUAUUUUCUGUCCUAACUGAUGUUAUGGACGAUUUCUCAUCAAUUUUGGGAUUUUGUGUUAUUUUGUGUCAUCAAGGAAAAUUGUGUUUUUGGCAAGACCUA